Molecule: ribosomal RNA, 460 nt
Filed under: uncultured bacterium
Lineage: Bacteria
Description: partial 16S ribosomal RNA
Rfam family: Bacterial small subunit ribosomal RNA
Source: RNAcentral
CCUACGGGAGGCAGCAGUGAGGAAUAUUGGUCAAUGGACGAGAGUCUGAACCAGCCAAGCAGCGUGAAGGAUGACUGCCCUAUGGGUUGUAAACUUCUUUUAUAUGGGAAUAAAAUGUGCCACGUGUGGGAGUUUGUAUGUACCAUAUGAAAAAGGAUCGGCUAACGCCGUGCCAGCAGCCGCGUUAAUACGGAGGAUCCGAGCGUUAUCCGGAUUUAUUGGGUUUAAAGGGAGCGUAGGUGGAUUGUUAAGUCAGUUGUGAAAGUUUGCGGCUCAACCGUAAAAUUGCAGUUGAAACUGGCAGUCUUGAGUACAGUAGAGGUGGGCGGAAUGCGUGGUGUAGCGGUGAAAUGCUUAGAUAUCACGAAGAACUCCGAUUGCGAAGGCAGCUCACUGGACUGCAACUGACACUGAGGCUCGAAAGUGUGGGUAUCAAACAGGAUUAGAUACCCUUGUAGUC